AGGUUAUAGGGUGCAAUUCCCCAACAAAGAAACCUUCACCAACCUGUGCCUCUAUUCCUCGACACUACACUUAGAAAAAAAAAUCAUCAUCCCUCUCAAAACUCUUUCGGAGAAACUCUCACUCUCAUUUCUUCGAAUCGCGAUGACUCUGUACGGCCAAACCUCCGACCGUAUCUCCAGAUCUAGAAGGGAAACUGGUUUCCGUGGGAGAAGACGACAUAUAAGAAGAAGAAGCUGAGAGGUGAAGCGGAGGAAGACGACAUAGAAGACGAAAAAGCUAAGCGGUGGAUUUAUCGACGAAAUUAGAAGUUGGGAUCUCAAAACCGGGAAAGAUCUGCUUCGAUUCAAGUCGUGUGCUUCUCCGGCGCACAGCCGAAAACUUGGGUCGACUAAAGAAUCAAUUUUUCUAUCAAGCAACAAUGGGUCAAGUUCUCUUUUGCUCUCACACCUAUCCUCUCCGACGUUCUUGAAGGCUUAGUAGUUGCUUUCAUUUGUUAUCCUUUUUUUUCUUUUCUUGUUCCGCUGUAGGAGCAUGGAUUUUCACUUUGAUUCUGCUAAAAACGAGUUUGAUUUAUCUGCUUGAUAUCGGUAGCCAAUGCUGAUGUGAUCCACUUAGUUGCCUUGUUGCGUCUCUCAUCCCCUGUGUGAUUGCAGAUGAGGGAGGAUAAGAAGUAGAAGAAUGAUGAAGGAGAAGUGAGGGAAGGAGUAGCGCAUCAAUAGCUUUGUUGCCACGCGGGUAUAUCUCUUGUCAUUUCUUUCAAAUGUCUAGCUCCAUCUGUUUUGGUCUCCAUGGAGAUCAGGUGUCAGCUAUUUUGGUUGAGUCUUGUGGCUUAAAGAACUCAAGGCUCAACUCGGCUCUCCUCAGUGUCACCAAAGUCACCGAAGGUACUCAAACUAAGCUCUCUAAAAGCAUAUCACUUCUUUCACAGAGUCACCUCAGUUUUGGUGAUUUUAUAUGAUAAAAUCUGACUGGAUUUGGAGAAGCUUGAAGAAGCGGUUGGCUGGAAGAAGAUAGGUCGAAGAUGAUGUUUGGCUUACAGAGAAAGCCACAGCCAAGCACACUCUUAGACAGAGCUCAUGAUGUACAACUUUAUUUCAGAGCGUAAGAAAUGAGUUGCUCUUGGAACAUUAAUGGGAACUACCUAGGCUUCAAUGAUGGAAUACAAAGCAAUUGAGAAUGUGCUACAAACCAUUUAUUAUGUAGUUUUUCAUCUAUUCUUAUUUUUAGUUAUGAUUUUUAAUUUUAUUUUGUAAUACAAUUUUUUUGUAA
This is a non-coding RNA of Camelina sativa (false flax), 1270 nucleotides long. The record is from RefSeq and is a predicted model, not a curated record. NCBI's taxonomy places the organism in Eukaryota, Viridiplantae, Streptophyta, Magnoliopsida, Brassicales, Brassicaceae.